This 1286-nucleotide ribosomal RNA is filed under the name metagenome. RNAcentral describes it as "bacterial SSU rRNA". It matches the Rfam family "Bacterial small subunit ribosomal RNA", at positions 242 to 1520 of the family's 1533-position model. The record is from RNAcentral.
UAGCUAGUUGGUGAGGUAAAGGCUUACCAAGGCGACGAUCUGUAGCGGGUCUGAGAGGAUGAUCCGCCACACUGGAACUGAGACACGGUCCAGACUCCUACGGGAGGCAGCAGUGGGGAAUUUUGGACAAUGGGGGCAACCCUGAUCCAGCCAUGCCGCGUGAGUGAAGAAGGCCUUCGGGUUGUAAAGCUCUUUCGGCCGGGAAGAAAUCGCAUGGGCCAAUACCCUGUGUGGAUGACGGUACCGGAAUACGAAGCACCGGCUAACUACGUGCCAGCAGCCGCGGUAAUACGUAGGGUGCGAGCGUUAAUCGGAAUUACUGGGCGUAAAGCGUGCGCAGGCGGUUUUGUAAGACAGGCGUGAAAUCCCCGGGCUUAACCUGGGAACUGCGUUUGUGACUGCAAGGCUAGAGUACGGCAGAGGGGGGUGGAAUUCCACGUGUAGCAGCGAAAUGCGUAGAGAUGUGGAGGAACACCAAUGGCGAAGGCAGCCCCCUGGGUCGAUACUGACGCUCAUGCACGAAAGCGUGGGUAGCAAACAGGAUUAGAUACCCUGGUAGUCCACGCCCUAAACUAUGUCAACUAGGUGUUGGGUGGGUAAAACCAUUUAGUACCGUAGCUAACGCGUGAAGUUGACCGCCUGGGGAGUACGGCCGCAAGGUUAAAACUCAAAGGAAUUGACGGGGACCCGCACAAGCGGUGGAUGAUGUGGAUUAAUUCGAUGCAACGCGAAAAACCUUACCUACCCUUGACAUGCCAGGAACUUGCCAGAGAUGGCUUGGUGCCCGAAAGGGAGCCUGGACACAGGUGCUGCAUGGCUGUCGUCAGCUCGUGUCGUGAGAUGUUGGGUUAAGUCCCGCAACGAGCGCAACCCUUGUCGUUAAUUGCCAUCAUUUAGUUGGGCACUUUAACGAGACUGCCGGUGACAAACCGGAGGAAGGUGGGGAUGACGUCAAGUCCUCAUGGCCCUUAUGGGUAGGGCUUCACACGUCAUACAAUGGUCGGUACAAAGGGUUGCCAAGCCGCGAGGCGGAGCCAAUCCCAGAAAGCCGAUCGUAGUCCGGAUUGCAGGCUGCAACUCGCCUGCAUGAAGUCGGAAUCGCUAGUAAUCGUGGAUCAGCAUGUCACGGUGAAUACGUUCCCGGGUCUUGUACACACCGCCCGUCACACCAUGGGAGCGGGUUCCGCCAGAAGUAGGUAGCCUAACCGCAAGGGGGGCGCUUACCACGGCGGGGUUCGUGACUGGGGUGAAGUCGUAACAAGGUAGCCGUAGGGGUCCUGCGGCUG